Molecule: non-coding RNA, 79 nt
Organism: Acyrthosiphon pisum (pea aphid)
Lineage: Eukaryota; Metazoa; Arthropoda; Insecta; Hemiptera; Aphididae
Source: Rfam
UGUUGGCGGGCCUGACUCAUUGCUCAACCUGUGUUAUUGAUACGUUAUUAGGUGAGCAAAGUUUCAGGUGUGCCAACGU